CCGCCUACGGGCGGCUGCAGUGGGGAAUUUUGGACAAUGGGCGCAAGCCUGAUCCAGCCAUGCCGCGUGUGGGAAGAAGGCCUUCGGGUUGUAAACCACUUUUGUCAGGGAAGAAACGGCCUUUUCUAAUACAAGGGGCUAAUGACGGUACCUGAAGAAUAAGCACCGGCUAACUACGUGCCAGCAGCCGCGGUAAUACGUAGGGUGCAAGCGUUAAUCGGAAUUACUGGGCGUAAAGCGUGCGCAGGCGGCUUUGCAAGACAGAUGUGAAAUCCCCGGGCUCAACCUGGGAACUGCAUUUGUGACUGCAUGGCUAGAGUGCGGCAGAGGGGGAUGGAAUUCCGCGUGUAGCAGUGAAAUGCGUAGAUAUGCGGAGGAACACCGAUGGCGAAGGCAAUCCCCUGGGCCUGCACUGACGCUCAUGCACGAAAGCGUGGGGAGCAAACAGGAUUAGAUACCCUAGUAGUCGG
Molecule: ribosomal RNA, 470 nt
Filed under: uncultured Methylibium sp.
Lineage: Bacteria; Pseudomonadati; Pseudomonadota; Betaproteobacteria; Burkholderiales; Sphaerotilaceae
Description: bacterial SSU rRNA
Rfam family: Bacterial small subunit ribosomal RNA
Source: RNAcentral